Long non-coding RNA from Anopheles funestus (African malaria mosquito), 2578 nucleotides. RefSeq lists it as uncharacterized. Lineage: Eukaryota; Metazoa; Arthropoda; Insecta; Diptera; Culicidae. The record is from RefSeq and is a predicted model, not a curated record. The transcript has 5 exons.
AUGACAACUGGUAGCGCAUGCUUAUCGCGAAAAAAGACCACAGCAAUUGAACAAGCGGACGCCUUAAAAAUAUAUUCAAGUACCGUUUUCCCGCGGCAACGUGAGCACAAUUUUCCCUUUAACGUAUGCUUGGCUUUUCAGAGUGAAAUUGAGAGAGAGAGAGAGAAAAUGAACAUUUUCUGCGAGAGAUGGGAGAGAUCCCGACGAAAACGAAGCUAGAGUUUUCUUUCAACCGAUUGGCAUCAUUUGAGGGAAAAUUCAGUUUCUCUUAGGCAGCAACGCCAUCAGGGCGUUUUGCUCUAAACUAUUCAAGCCUGAAACAUUCUAGUCUUGUUUUUCAUUUCUAGAGCCAGUGAAAAACGAGACAAAAAUUAAACACACUCCUGGAAACAAACGGAAAACCGAACCACAAAAGGGAGGGAUAUUCCCGGUUUUAUCCUAAUUUCUUUAUGAAACAUUAACCCUUGUUUUAGUUUCUUAGUGUAUACGUUUCCGUAUGGGUUAAAUCCAGCUUUCUUUACGUUCGAUCUGAGUGGGAAGCAACAAAGGAAGUCCAAUCGAGGACAGCGAGUUAUCGAUCAAAAACUCCCAUCGUUGCAGUCGAAAAGAGUGUAUAAGUGGGACAGUGUAGUAGUACGAGGACGCGACUUGUGCUUCAUCGGUUUUUUUUUGUAACGCCUGGUGUUGGUAGAAGGAAAUGGUAUCAGCGAAGAUGGUCGAACCGUUGAUAGUGCUUCUGGUUUAUUUAAAUUGUGAUUUAAUAUUUUACGUUAAAAAUAUCAAUAAACAUUAAGGUGUAUCAACUCGUUGAAGCUGCUGUCCUCCUUUCCUUUGUCGUACUACUUUGAUAACCUACCAACGGUGCAAAAACGGUUCUUUGACUUAUCCUGAUAAUUCACGAAACAUAAGCUUGCAUUGGUUGGUAUGCGUGAGAUCGUAAAUAACCGACUUAGUCGAGCAACGGCUUUGGGAUGAUUGGCGGAAAUGCGUGGGUGAUAUCCUCCACCUAGUUCCUCCUCCAGCCACACCGAUUUCCACACCCUGAGGGCACACCAGCCGGAUUAGCGUUUAUGGGUGUACCAAAUUUGCCGGCCGAACACCUUCAUGUGACCCGUCGCCCGUGAAUCGGCGCGUCUCGCCGAGCGGAGCGUGGAAAACAUCGUCAACACCGUACCAAGAGAACAACUACGGCGUAGGACCACUUGACUAGCGGAUCCAUUCGCCGCCGCUGCCCUUGUCUAUCAACAGAUACGCCCCGCAAGAUCGCUCCGUGCUAGAUAAUUACUUGACGUAGGGGAUGUCCUACUCGUUUUGACGGCUCUGAUCCGUUCGUCAUGUACCGUGAAUUCAACGCCGUUUGUUACCGGAUUUGUCGUGCUCGUUUCGUACGGCCUAUUACUUGUUCGAUUUUGGCGCUAGCGGCCGGUGAAAACAGGAGCAAGAAAACAGCCAUGGAGAAGGUCCCCUGCACCGUGAUGAUCGGUCUCCAAACUCCAUACACCGGAAGCAGCGCUCCAUGGCUGAUGGUCCAGACUACUCCUCGAAGAACUAUACGGCUCACAUCUCGACUAACAGUCGAACGCCGGAACGUAGUUUCCGGCCUCGGAUGACCCGUAGCUGCCCUCACCGGCUGUGACACCGGAAGGGUCAAAGCUGCUGUUGCGGCUGGUGCUGUUGCCGCUGCUGUUGUUGUUUCUGCUGCCGCUUUCGAUCAGUUUCAUUUGGCAUCAGCGUAGGGAUCUCCAUGUGGUUCGGAUUGUAUGUGAAAUCCAGACUUUUCCGCAGAGCUCGCACGACAUCGACGUAGGACUGCCCUGCCGCCGGCUGAACUUCUACAAGAUCACGGCUACGCUUCCGCCCGCAGUUGCGUCGUCUGCGAACAGUAGUUUCCGGCCUCGAAUGACCCGUAGUUGCGCUCACCGGCUGUGACACAGGAAGGGUCACAUGCUGCUGCUGCGGCUGGUGCUGUUGCCGUUGCUGUUGUUGGGGCUUCCGUUGGCUCUGACCGAUUUGAGCUGCAACCGAGACGCGUCGAUUGAGAGGUCACACGAUGGUGUUUGGUCGGAAAAGUUGGUACCUCCUAAAGCGCUUUUCCGGCUGGUGUGCCCUCAGGGUGUGGAAAUCGGUGCGGCUGGAGGAGGAACUAGGUGGAGGACGUUGAUCCGCACAUGACUAGAAAUCGAUCAAAACACGGAAUAACCGAUUUGCACGGCAGUUUUCCCCCUAUGGAUGGCGGGAGAGGGGGGUGAUGAGUGGUUGGUGUGGUGUUUUCCACGCUCCUCUUGACGAGACGGUAACAAUUACCUUUUAUGACACCUCAUGCGUGUCACGCGAACAUUGUUGUUGUCUAUCUCUUCAGGAUCUCAAGUAAAUCGCAAAUAACGAACAUUUUGAAAUGUUUCAUGAAAUAUAGACCUUCCUUUAUUGGUAAUAACUUUAGUACUAAUGAUCGGAUAAGUAUGUAAAACACAUGCAAAGACGCAGAAUUGAAUUCUACACAUACCAUGCGAACAUUAUUGUUGUCUAUCUUUUAGGAUUUCAAGUAAAUUACAAAUAAAGAAAAAAUUGAAAUAUUUCA